GAUGAACGCUGGCGGCGUGCCUAAUACAUGCAAGUCGAGCGAACGGACGAGAAGCUUGCUUCUCUGAUGUUAGCGGCGGACGGGUGAGUAACACGUGGAUAACCUACCUAUAAGACUGGGAUAACUUCGGGAAACCGGAGCUAAUACCGGAUAAUAUUUUGAACCGCAUGGUUCAAAAGUGAAAGACGGUCUUGCUGUCACUUAUAGAUGGAUCCGCGCUGCAUUAGCUAGUUGGUAAGGUAACGGCUUACCAAGGCAACGAUGCAUAGCCGACCUGAGAGGGUGAUCGGCCACCCUGGAACUGAGACACGGUCCAGACUCCUACGGGAGGCAGCAGUAGGGAAUCUUCCGCAAUGGGCGAAAGCCUGACGGAGCAACGCCGCGUGAGUGAUGAAGGUCUUCGGAUCGUAAAACUCUGUUAUUAGUGAAGAACAUAUGUGUAAGUAACUGUGCACAUCUUGACGGUACCUAAUCAGAAAGCCACGGCUAACUACGUG
This 497-nucleotide ribosomal RNA is filed under the name uncultured bacterium. RNAcentral's name for it is "partial 16S ribosomal RNA". It matches the Rfam family "Bacterial small subunit ribosomal RNA", at positions 28 to 507 of the family's 1533-position model. The record is from RNAcentral.